GAGAAUAUAGCUCAGUGGUGGUGUGCAUGCCUAGCAUGCAUGAGGUCCUGGGUUCAAUCCCCAGUACCUUCA
Molecule: transfer RNA, 72 nt
Filed under: Camelus bactrianus (Bactrian camel)
Lineage: Eukaryota; Metazoa; Chordata; Mammalia; Artiodactyla; Camelidae
Also listed under: 2 other names
Rfam family: tRNA
About the family: Transfer RNA (tRNA) molecules are approximately 80 nucleotides in length.
Source: Rfam by way of RNAcentral